GGUUGUGGCUCAGUGGUAGAGCGCUUGCUUAGCACGCAUGAGUCACUGGGUUUGAUUCUCAGCACCACCU
This 70-nucleotide transfer RNA is filed under the name Ictidomys tridecemlineatus (thirteen-lined ground squirrel). RNAcentral's name for it is "Spermophilus tridecemlineatus (thirteen-lined ground squirrel) tRNA". It matches the Rfam family "tRNA". Rfam says of the family: Transfer RNA (tRNA) molecules are approximately 80 nucleotides in length. Their secondary structure includes four short double-helical elements and three loops (D, anti-codon, and T loops). Further hydrogen bonds mediate the characteristic L-shaped molecular structure. tRNAs have two regions of fundamental functional importance: the anti-codon, which is responsible for specific mRNA codon recognition, and the 3' end, to which the tRNAs corresponding amino acid is attached (by aminoacyl-tRNA synthetases). tRNAs cope with the degeneracy of the genetic code in two manners: having more than one tRNA (with a specific anti-codon) for a particular amino acid; and 'wobble' base-pairing, i.e. permitting non-standard base-pairing at the 3rd anti-codon position. RNAcentral also lists the same sequence under 1 other name. Lineage: Eukaryota; Metazoa; Chordata; Mammalia; Rodentia; Sciuridae. The record is from Rfam by way of RNAcentral.